CUCAGUUCGGAUCGGAGUCUGCAACCCGACUCCGUGAAGCUGGAUUCGCUAGUAAUCGCGCAUCAGCCAUGGCGCGGUGAAUACGUUCCCGGGCCUUGUACACACCGCCCGUCAAGCCAUGGAAGCCGGGGGCGCUUGAAGUGCGUCGCCGCAAGGCGCGCCCUAGAGCGAAACCGGUGACUGGGGCUAAGUCGUAACAAGGUACC
This 206-nucleotide ribosomal RNA is filed under the name uncultured bacterium. Its description in RNAcentral is "partial 16S ribosomal RNA". It matches the Rfam family "Bacterial small subunit ribosomal RNA", at positions 1287 to 1500 of the family's 1533-position model. The record is from RNAcentral.